This 465-nucleotide ribosomal RNA is filed under the name uncultured bacterium. RNAcentral's name for it is "partial 16S ribosomal RNA". It matches the Rfam family "Bacterial small subunit ribosomal RNA", at positions 338 to 795 of the family's 1533-position model. The record is from RNAcentral.
CCUACGGGAGGCAGCAGUAGGGAAUCUUCCACAAUGGGCGAAAGCCUGAUGGAGCAACGCCGCGUGGGUGAAGAAGGUAUUCGGAUCGUAAAACCCUGUUGUUAGAGAAGCAAGGGCGGGAGAGUAACUGUUCACGUUUCGACGGUAUCUAACCAGAAAGGCACGGCUAACUACGUGCCAGCAGCUGCGGUAAUCCGUAGGUGGCAUGCGUUAUCCGGAUUUGUUGGGAGGAAAGGGAACGCAGGCGGUCUUGUAAGUCUGAUGUGAAGGCCUUCGGGUUAACCGGAGUAGUGCAUUGGGGACUGGGAGACUUGAGUGCAGAAGAGGAGAGUGGAACGCCAUGUGUAGCGGUGAAAUGCGUGGAUAUAUGGAAGAACACCAGUGGCGAAAGCGGCUCUCUGGUCCGUAACUGACGCUGAGGUUCGAAAGCGUGGGUAGCAAACAGGAUUAGAUACCCCAGUAGUC